ACCUUAACUUUAGGGAAUUUUGGAGCUUUGGAAUUGUUUUGGGAACAAGUGUGGUCUCUUUGGGGAUUCUGAUGAAUUGGCUAGUUGGUUCCUCUUCUUGUUUUUGUUUUUGUAAAUAUGUUGUGUAUCUUGUCUCUUAGAGUUGUGUUCAGAAAAGAGAGAAAAGAAAAGAGACAAGAUGGAAAAAAAAAGAGAAGAAAAAAAAAUAUACAGAAAAAUGAAAAAAAAGUGUGAAUAAUGGAGUCAAGAAGAGGAUUGAAUUAGAGGUUUGGGUGUGCGUAUACUGUGUUUACACUUGUUCCCCCAUUGCUCCUCUAUUUCCUUUUGUUUGUAGCUUCUCAUCCAUAUGUAUCCUUCCUUGUCCUUGGCCCCA
RNAcentral lists this long non-coding RNA (373 nucleotides) under Vigna radiata. RNAcentral describes it as "long non-coding RNA (VRAD_LNC015562)". The record is from RNAcentral. Lineage: Eukaryota; Viridiplantae; Streptophyta; Magnoliopsida; Fabales; Fabaceae.